GCCUCUGUAGCUCAGUUGGUUAGAGCGCUGCACGGAAUCGCAGGGUCGCAGGUUCAAUUCCUGCCAGGGACC
This 72-nucleotide transfer RNA is filed under the name Paramuricea clavata. It matches the Rfam family "tRNA". Rfam says of the family: Transfer RNA (tRNA) molecules are approximately 80 nucleotides in length. Their secondary structure includes four short double-helical elements and three loops (D, anti-codon, and T loops). The record is from Rfam by way of RNAcentral. Lineage: Eukaryota; Metazoa; Cnidaria; Anthozoa; Malacalcyonacea; Plexauridae.